RNAcentral lists this long non-coding RNA (1334 nucleotides) under Nannospalax galili (Upper Galilee mountains blind mole rat). RNAcentral describes it as "lncRNA (ENSNGAG00000024613.1)". Lineage: Eukaryota; Metazoa; Chordata; Mammalia; Rodentia; Spalacidae. The record is from RNAcentral.
GGUGCACAAGAGGUACAAGCUAGCAGCUGGCUGGUGCAGCUGUGUGCCAGAGUGUCUAGCAGGGGAGGUUGCUGUGAGCUGGAACUCCUGGGCAUAUGUGAUGCAGACUGCUCACUGUGUGUCCAGUCCCAGGCACAUCUUGCCUACUCUCACAGUCUGUUUAUCUGAAAGAAAUGAUUCUUUUUCUGCACAUACCUUCUGAAGGGGGGUACAAGAAGCCCUUUGCUUCUGAGUGUCAAGCAGUGUGAAUGGGCAAAAUCUCUCCCACUAAUCCCUGUCCUUGUCCCUGUCCACCCCCUUUGUUGCUCCCUGUCCUGGCCUGAGGAGAGAAGCUGGUGCAAGGGGCAGAAGUGGCUCACAAACAGUGAAUAUUCCCUCCUCCCAGCCAACACUCUUGCCUUUGAUUCUGCAGGAACAGAAGUGUGUCCCAGCCACUGGAGAGCUCUCCCCAGAGGUCCAGGAAUGGUCCCCAUACUCACCAGGGCAUCCUAGCAGGCAUGGCAACCCCCCACUCUACCCCAACAGGCCAUCUGUAGGUACUGUUCCCCGGAGCAUGACCCCCAGCACCACUGUGAGCUCCAUCCUGCGGAACCCCAUCUAUACUGUACGCAGCCACAGGGUGGUCCCCUGCUCUCCACCUGUGCCCCGAGAUGCUGGUCCUCAGGGCUUAUCUCCCAGGUAUGGCAAGAUAAACACUUCCCUGCACACCAGCAGUCCAGCCCCUGAAUGGAGAGCUGCUGCGACAUCGAGGCCGGUGGGCAGAGUUAGUCCCAUAGCUAUCUGGGAAUGGAUUGGGGGAGCAUAGCUGGGACCUAGUGAGAGUAGACUUAAAAAGAUGCUGUGUGAGCUCACCUGGGUAUUCAGGGACAUUUCAGGAAUGGCAAUAGUGAUGGUAGAUCAGGUCCCAAACACUGUGCUUAGACCUUCUUCCAAUCCUCAUCUAAACACACGGUGAAUGACCUGAGCCCAGUGCUGCUAUGUUCCUCUACUCCAAGACAGAGUGCUGAGACCUUCCAGAGGACAUGAGCUGUCUGUGCUGAAAUUUAAGCAUCACAAGAGUUUUUCUGACUAUGUAGAGCACCGAUGAAUAUAUUAAGGAAGAAACCUGAGCUGGGCAUGGUAGCACACACCCUUAAUCUCAGCACUGGGAAGGCAGAGGCAGCUGGAUUUCUGUAAGUUUGAGGCCAGCCUGGCCUACAUAGUGAGCUCCAGGCCAGCCAAGGCUCUGUAGUGAAACUCUGUCUUAGAGGAAAGAAAGAAAAGGAAGGAAGGGAGGAAGGAAAGAAGGGAGGGAGGGAAGGAAGGAAGGAAGGAAGGAAGGAAGGAAGGAAGGA